UACAGAGGCCUCGAGCGUUAGGCGGAAUCACUGGGCUUAAAGCGCGUGUAGGCGGAUGCCUAAGUACCUUGUGAAAUCCCACGGCUCACCCGUGGAACUGCUUGGUAUACUGGGUGUCUUGAGCCACUUAGGGGCUACCGGAACAAAUGGUGGAGCGGUGAAAUGCGUAGAUAUCAUUUGGAACGCCAACGGUGAAAACAGGUAGCUGGGAGUGUGCUGACGCUGAGACACGAAAGCCAGGGGAGCAAACGGG
This 253-nucleotide ribosomal RNA is filed under the name uncultured bacterium. RNAcentral's name for it is "partial 16S ribosomal RNA". It matches the Rfam family "Bacterial small subunit ribosomal RNA", at positions 524 to 776 of the family's 1533-position model. The record is from RNAcentral.